Molecule: ribosomal RNA, 253 nt
Filed under: uncultured bacterium
Lineage: Bacteria
Description: partial 16S ribosomal RNA
Rfam family: Bacterial small subunit ribosomal RNA
Source: RNAcentral
UACGGAGGGGGCUAGCGUUGUUCGGAAUUACUGGGCGUAAAGCGCGCGUAGGCGGCUUUGUAAGUUAGAGGUGAAAGCCCGGAGCUCAACUCCGGAAUUGCCUUUAAGACUGCAUCGCUAGAAUCAUGGAGAGGUUAGUGGAAUUCCGAGUGUAGAGGUGAAAUUCGUAGAUAUCGAGAGGAACACCUGCGGCGAAGGCGGGUAGCUGGGCCGACACUGACGCUGAGGCGCGAAAGCCAGGGGAGCGAACGGG